AAUGAACGUUGGCGGCGUGGAUUAGGCAUGCAAGUCGUACGCAUAGCUUCGGCUAUGAGUGGUGCAAGGGUGAGUAAUGCGAAGGUAACCAACCCUGGUGUUGGGCAUAGCCGCGGGAAACUGCGGGUAAUUCCCAGCGACGUCACGAGAUGGCAUCAUCUUGUGACCAAAAGGUGUGAUUCCGCUCUAGGACGGGCCUUCGUGGUAUUAGGUAGUUGGUGAGGUAACGGCUCACCAAGCCGACGAUGCCUACCGGGUGUGAGAGCAUGACCCGGCACACUGGAACUGAGACACUGUCCAGACACCUACGGGUGGCUGCAGUCGAGAAUCUUCGGCAAUGGGCGAAAGCCUGACCGAGCGACGCCGCGUGAGGGAUUGAAGGCCUUCGGGUUGUAAACCUACUUUCGUAGAGGAGGAAGGGCCGUGAAGAACGGUCUUUGACCUAUUCUAGGAAGAAGACUUGGGCUAAGUUCGUGCCAGCAGCCGCGGUAAU
RNAcentral lists this ribosomal RNA (493 nucleotides) under uncultured bacterium. Its description in RNAcentral is "bacterial SSU rRNA". It matches the Rfam family "Bacterial small subunit ribosomal RNA", at positions 29 to 524 of the family's 1533-position model. The record is from RNAcentral.